This 23-nucleotide non-coding RNA is filed under the name Arabidopsis thaliana (thale cress). Lineage: Eukaryota; Viridiplantae; Streptophyta; Magnoliopsida; Brassicales; Brassicaceae. The record is from RNAcentral.
UGGGUCUUUCGUAUAUUGUAACA